UCUUGGUUCAGGAUGAACGCUAGCUACAGGCUUAACACAUGCAAGUCGAGGGGCAUCAUGGAGUUGCUUGCAAACUCUGAUGGCGACCGGCGCACGGGUGAGUAACGCGUAUCCAACCUUCCCUAUAGUAGAGGAUAGCCCGGCGAAAGUCGGAUUAAUACUCUAUGUUUUCCGUUGCAGACAUCUAAGAUGGAACAAAGGCUUGCCGCUAUAGGAUGGGGGAUGCGUCUGAUUAGGUAGUCGGCGGGGUAACGGCCCACCGAGCCAUCGAUCAGUAGGGGUUCUGAGAGGAAGGUCCCCCACAUUGGAACUGAGACACGGUCCAAACUCCUACGGGAGGCAGCAGUGAGGAAUAUUGGUCAAUGGGCGAGAGCCUGAACCAGCCAAGUAGCGUGCAGGACGACGGCCCUAUGGGUUGUAAACUGCUUUUAUGCGGGGAUAAAGUUCACUACGUGUAGUGUUUUGUAGGUACCGCAUGAAUAAGGACCGGCUAAUUCCGUGCCAGCCGCAGC
Molecule: ribosomal RNA, 512 nt
Filed under: uncultured bacterium
Lineage: Bacteria
Description: bacterial SSU rRNA
Rfam family: Bacterial small subunit ribosomal RNA
Source: RNAcentral